CCUACGGGGGGCAGCAGUGGGGAAUAUUGGGCAAUGGGCGCAAGCCUGACCCAGCAACGCCGCGUGAAGGAAGAAGGCUUUCGGGUUGUAAACUUCUUUUCUCAGGGACGAAGAAAGUGACGGUACCUGAGGAAUAAGCCACGGCUAACUACGUGCCAGCAGCCGCGGUAAUACGUAGGUGGCAAGCGUUAUCCGGAUUUAUUGGGUUUAAAGGGUGCGCAGGCGGCGUGUCAAGUCAGCGGUAAAAUGUCGGGGCUCAACCCCGGCCGGCCGUUGAAACUGGCGUGCUCGAGUUGGAGAGAAGU
RNAcentral lists this ribosomal RNA (305 nucleotides) under uncultured bacterium. RNAcentral describes it as "bacterial SSU rRNA". It matches the Rfam family "Bacterial small subunit ribosomal RNA", at positions 338 to 658 of the family's 1533-position model. The record is from RNAcentral.